Molecule: long non-coding RNA, 1015 nt
Organism: Saccostrea echinata
Lineage: Eukaryota; Metazoa; Mollusca; Bivalvia; Ostreida; Ostreidae
Exons: 8
Source: RefSeq, a predicted model, not a curated record
AAUUCAAUGGGAAAUUCAUUUGACAGUGAUGAUGAUGAUGAGAUUAAUUCAGCUUGUUGUGAUCCUCCUGGACAUCCAAGUGUUUUCGACAUUGAUGAAGAUUUUGUCACUCUGUCUCUGUUGGACCAAACCAAGAAAUGAUGGUUUUAAGAAGAUUAUAGGAUAUGUCAUAGAAUACGAAGACCCCACCACUGGAGGCAGGCUAAUGACUACCCAGUAGAUGAGUGUGUUUAUGAGGUGUAGGGAUUAAAAAAGGACAAGGAAUACAACUUCCACAUACGGGCCAAGAAUCUUGAAGGUUUUAGUGAGUCUAGUGAUGUGAUUGGUCCCAUAACCCCCAUUUCAAAUACACCAAGGUUUUGCCACCUGGUGUACCAGAGGCUGUCAACAAUUCUAUAACUUAUCUGAAAUGGGAACCACCUAAGCAUAAUGGUGGCUGUAAAAUUACAGACUACCUUGUGGAAGAGAGGUUUAAGGGAGCAGAGAUGUGGUUUAAGUGUAAUGAGUACCCCUGCACUGACCUCUCUUUACUGUCACCGAUCUUCCUCAGGACUCAGAGUGGGAGUUAAGAGUUACAGCUGUUAACUUUGCUGGAAACUGUGAGCCCAGUCUGUGCUCACCAGCAUACAAAAUCCAGGAGAAGAUUGAGUCUUUUGCAAUUGAGCAGGAUGAGGAAUCACACCAAUCAUUUGUAAAUGAAAGCAGCAGUCAUGAUGUUGUCAAUGAGAAUGAAUUUUAAAUAGGAUAUGAUACAGGGGCACUUUUAAGUGAUGAAGCAGACGAGUAUGAUGAUGGUAAUGAUGAUGAAUCAUACCAUCCUUCAAGCGAUGAAAAAAGCUGUGAUGAAGAUACCAUUAAUGAUCUUGAUAUGCCCAGUAAGCCUCUCAAAUCUGAAAUGCAGCAGAAACAAGCUGCACUUGCAAGUGACAGUGAAAAGGACAGUGAAUGUGAAGAUGAUCAUGAUGAUGUCAGCAAAGUUUUACCACAGUCAGAGAAGCGAAAGACCAGUUUUUUA